UCGUUUUGGGCUUAAAGAAACGUUCGGGUUUAAUUGGGCCCAUUGGGCCUAAACCCAUUGGGUUUUUAUUCAAGCAUUGGAUGACUUGAAAUAAAUAAAAGCCCAAAAGCCCAAACAACACUAAGGGGGCGGGCCAUAUAGAGUGAAAAGGAGAGAUUGGAAGUCAAGUUGUUGGCUAGGUUUCUUUGUGUUAUAAAAGGAACUUUAUAGUGAAAAAGUUAAUUAGAGUUUUUUGUGUGUUGUUUUUCACAAAAAAAGACCAUCUCUCUCUCUCAAAAACUCACACAAGGCCGGCCACCAUAGGGGUGAUUUAACUAAUCAUCUUCUCACCCUUUUGGUUAUUCCUUCAUCCUUCUCACUACACUAGUGGGUGAGGAUCUUUAGAGGUUUUCAAUUUUGGAAACUUGAAGAGAACCUAGGAGCACUCAUUCUAAACAAAGUGGAGGAGGCAAGGAAGGAGGCUAGGCUCAAGGAGUUUAAGGAGCAAAGGUCUUGGAGGUGGUCCAUCCUUGGUCUAAGAUCUAGAUCAAGAGGUAUAAAACUACUCCUAAACUUUGUUCUUAUAUAUAAAUUUGUUUUUGAUGCAUCUUACAUAAACCUAUGCAUCUUGAAGGGGAUUUGCAUGACUAGAGCUUUGAUAUUAUUUGAUAACAUGCUUCCGUUGCUUUCGUAUAUAAAUCUUGAAUUGUAUAUGCAUGCUAGUCACUAGAAAUCCCACAUGAAUCUCAUAGAAUUUCCCUUCAAGUGGUAUCAGAGCCAAAGGUUUAUGUAAGAUAUGUCAUUUUGGAUUUUAUGCAUAUGGGUUUUAAUUUUAUGUAUGACAUAUUAUUGCUUCAUUCAAAGUAUGUUUAUCUUUUGUUUUUCAAUGGUUGAAAAAUGUAAAUCAAUAGUUGAAAAGAUAUGCAUGCAAAAGUGUUUUGGAUGCAUGAAUGAAGAUUGAGUUUAGAACUAAAAUUUGGGGUUUUUAUUCCAAAUGGGAGGGCACGGUUUUGGGGGUGGUUUUGGGUUGUGUUUGUGUUUUAUUGUAAACCACUCUCACAUCCUUUUAAAGCUAGAAAGAAGAGUUCUUGUCACUUUUGUUUUUGGGUUUGAAAAAUCAUCAAGAAUGUACAAAUAUUGAAAUUGUGUUCAUGGUUUUGUUCUUGGUGUUCAUGGUUUUGGUUUUGGUGAAAAUUGUUUUGUUUUGUGUUCAUACAUUGUUUUGAGGUUUUGGAUGAUGCACAUACUAUCCAUAGCCUUCCCAAAAAUGUAAUUCAAUCCUAGACUUGACUAGGUGAAUUUCCAUCACCCUUUUCUUAAAGUCCUUAAAGCAAAACCAAGUGACAAGCAAAAUUUAAUUUUUUUCUUCAUAAUGUUGAAUUAAUGCGUGUUGUGUAAGAAACCUCCUAUCCCCAUUAAGUGGCCGGCCUCCCUAGUGGAUUUAUCCACUUGUUGGGCUAUUUUGUAAUCUUUGAAAAGUUGAUAUUUACUUUCAAGUAUUUACGGUUUGACCCCUAACUUUUCAUAUUUGCAUAAUAGGCCCCAUCCAUAUAAAAAGUUAAAAUAUUUGAUUUUAAUUUUAUUGGUUGUUUAAACUCAUAAUAUUAUUAUGCUCAUAUGCACUAAAUCUAAUUGUUUAUGUUGCAUUCCAUAUGAUUAUUUAAUGUGAUUAAGUAGUUAGAAAAAUGGAUGACUAUGGACUUAUGCCUUAAACGAUAAUUGAGCUAUGAGAUAAGGCGUUAAACUCAAAUUGUUUGAACCUUGGGAAUGUGUUUUAAUUACUGUUUCAAUUGGACCUUGUCACCUUGGACAUUAAUCUAUCUCUCCCUCUUAGUAUGUGUAAUUUGUAGGAAUUUGUGCAAAUCGGUUUGUAAUUCUUAUUACUUCUUAAUCUCUUUUAGUUAGUUGAUUCCCUCUAGUGCUAGACUAGAGUUUCUUUAACUAUUGGUAAGGAGACAUAACUAAAAGAGGGUUUUGACAUGAGAUUAAAGAUUAAAUGGGUCCAACGCCCUAAUUAGCAAUGAAUGAUUGUCUUUCAUUUCUAAUGGCUCAAUGAAAAUGUUUUAAUUGGAUUGAAAAGCACGUAAUUAAAUUGACACAACCUCCCCGAGUUCUUAUUCAACAAUGUUGGCUCGUUGUUGCAAUAACCCAAUAAGUCCAUGGUCAUCCAAGAGCCUAAGAUAACUAUAAAGUUCAAUUUCAAAGGAAUACAAAAACCGUAGUAGUAGUAGUUACUUCCAAUAUUUGAAAAAAUCAUUUUUGAUAUUGAUUUGUUUUUCUUAAAACAAAUAGUGGGAGUAUCAUACGCUACUAAACUAUAAUGAAUACAAUUAGUAGUUAUAUAUAUCUCCAAUAUUUUGAAAAAUGUUGAUAUUGAUUUGUUUUAUGAAAACAAAUAGUGGGGAUAUCAUAUGCUACUAAUUUCAUUAACUUUGGACUAAUAGUUAUAAUAGGACAAUUUAUUUGAAUAUGAUUAAAUAAAUAAAAAUUGAUGAGACCUUAAAAUCCCUCAACCAACAUACAAUAUUAAGUUGAAAGCGUAAGAGUGCUUUGAACACUUUUUCGUGGCCUUCCACCAUGGUAGGCUCCAAUCGUUUAUGACUUGUACACCGCCUUCACCCUAUCAUGGGGGAGUGCAAAGUGCAUGCUUAUACUCAGGAGGAGUUUAUUUAAAAACAUUUGAUGAGGUGAAGGUAGGCAACGAGUGUGGCCAACAUCGUAUCAUCGUGAGGUCAUACUUGAACCCCUAUCUAAACCGGCAUGGUGGGUCAAAACUUAACUAAGAGAAAAGGUGCCAACAUCGUAUCAUCGUGAGGCAUUCUUCUCUAGAGGCCAAAAAGAUGGGUAAUCACAAGAGGUUGUUGUGAAUGGGUACUUGUACCCUCUCAUUAUUAUUUUUGCUAGGCGACAUCGUAUCAUCGUGAGGUGGGCUUGGUAAUAGUGAGCCUCCCGUAACCCGCUAGGAGCUUUCUUUGAAAUCUCCCGGAUUCCAUCUUGAGGGAUAUGGAAUUUGCCAAAAAUGGUGGGUGGUGUCAUUCGGUUUAAAGACCCGAAUCGUUUGACUUAAUCAACAAUCAAACUAAUUAUUUUAUUGUUUAUGUAUUUAGAUAUGGUUGGGAGCACACUCGCGAAAAUACUAGACAAACAUUGCCUAGAGGGGCACAAUUUCCCAUCAUGGUUUCGUAAUGUCAAGAUUCUCCUAACCUUGGAGAAGAUUGUUUACGUGCUAGACAAGGCUCCACCUCACAUACCUCUUGGCCUCGACGCCACUAAGGAUGAACGUGCUAAGUAUGACAAGCACGUUGAGGAUGAUACACAAGCCAAGUGCUAUCUAUUGGCUUCCAUGAAUGAGGAGCUACAGAGACAGCACGAGGGCAUGGACAGUGCAUCUUCCAUCAUACUCCAUCUUACGGAGUUAUAUGGUGAAGGGACGCACAACCGUCGCUUUAACACUGUCAGUGAACUUGUGAAGACCAAGAUGGUCAAAGGGGCUCCAGUACAUCAACAUGUACUGAAGAUGAUAGGACUCAUUGAAUAAUUGGAGAACCUAGUGACUCCACUUGACGGGGAAUUGGCCCAGGACUUCAUAUUGGCUUUUCUUUCUGAUUCAUUCUCGCAGUUCGUAAUGAACUACAAUAUGAAUAAGAUGGAUAGUACUCUCUCUGAGUUACUAAACAUGUUAGUAACCGCUGAGAAGACUAUGAAGAAAGAGAACGUUGUAGGGACUGCUGCAGUAGCCUACAACAAGCCAUCCUCUUCCAAGGCUAAGCCGCAAGGCAAAGGCAAAGGGAAGGAGAAGAAGUCUCCCACUCCUAAACCGCAAGGAGGAGUGAGGAAAAAGAAGGCAAAGGAGCCCAAGGGGACUUGCCACCACUAUGGAAAGGAGGGGCAUUGGAAGAGGAAUUGCAGGUUAUACCUUGCAACUCUUAAGGACAAGCCACAAGGUAUGGUUUAUGUUCUUAUCUUCAAAUUCUAAUUGUUAGAUCUUCUAAAAUUUAUAUUUGAUAUAAAGGGCUAAUCACUUGUAUAAUUGUAUAUAGGUGGAGGAGCCAAGUAGAAGAGGAACAAGCAAAGAAAAGUGUGGAGAAGGGUUCGGCCACCAUGUUUUUGCUUACUACUUAGGAAGUUUGUUAGGCAUUUAAAGAUAGUCUUUAAACUUUCUUAUUUUGUUAAGAACUUAUUAAGUGGCUUCAUAUGAUGGAAGACCACUAUUAGUGCCUAAAUGUAUGAAGGUAUUUAAUUAGUCUCUAAAUGUAUAGAGCUAAUUCUUUUUGUAUUAAACAUUAUGAAUGUUUGAAUUAUCAUAUUAAUGUAAUGUGAUGAAUGCCUUCUAAUAUAUUAUUUCCUUAAAGUAGUGUUAUGAAUUGAAUAUUGUCUUGUUGUAUCCUAGUAGAGAUACAAGAUUUAUAUAUCACUUUAGUAAUGUGAUAACCAAACUUUAGACUUAUCAAUUAUGGAUAGAUCUCACAUGUUGGACAUAGAAGGAUACAAUGAAUCUUUAGAUUUGGUUCCAAUUGUCUACCUAAGAGUUCUAUAUGAAUUGACAAAAGUCUAGAGAUUCCUUUCUUGAAGAAAAGGAAGAUCACAUUAUAAUGAUAUAAGUGAUAAGAAAAACGUUUCUUAUAUGGUUAUCACUUAAACACAAUAAUCAAGAUCACUCUUGAUUCAAUUAGUAGUUUUGAACAACUAAUUGGGCAUUCUCUGAAUUGUUUUAAAAUGUCAAUUGUGUUAGUGAUUAAACCAAGAAAGAAGUGUCUAAAUCUAUAAAAUGUUUAAAGACUUUAGUCACUUAAUAACGAGACAUUAACUUAGUGAAGAUUGAAACAAACGAGCUUGAAAGGUUUUAAAGCUACUACACAAUGUCCUCUACCCGUAUACUCCACGUUUAUACAUUUUGAAUGUAUGAAGUGAUUUCUCAUUAAAGUCAUGAAAAAUAAUGGGAGGUGUGAAAAUGGAUAUAAACUCAAAUAUUAUUGGUUUAUAGUUGUCUAGAAUAAUAGUACUUGACUAUUAUUAAGAGUUUGUAAUUUUAAUUGUUAAAGGACUCAAGCUCUUUAAACGUUAAAAUUCUAUGUUGUGUAACAUUCUAAAGAAUAGUCUUUGAAUGUUGGUUUCGUCAACCUAACAUAAAAUGGUUAUAUGUUGGGAGUUGUCCAUCAUUCUCUUUUAUGAGAACAAGCUAAAUAACAAAGCCCAUGGACAAAUUUGAUGAAACAAAAGGGAAUAGUUUCAAAAUGAGUCACAACAUAUAGUUUAACAACAAGACAAUCCAAAUUCAACAUCUUAUGUAACUAUAACGCUCUAUGUAGUUUUGAUAAAUAAUUAUAUCAACCACCUAGAAGGAAUGGUUGAGUUUCUAUAUCCUUAGUAGGAGCCAUGCUUCCACUAAAGACUUGGAUAAUUCUUAUAUGACUACAUUAAAGGUCUUAGUAUGACUAAAACUUGUAGUAUGGUGUAUGACACCAUAUAAUUUAAAUGAAUGAGCUUGAUAAAGCAAGUCACACAUUUCAAAUGGAGUUACUUUAGAAGGAAUUUUUUUGUGUAUGUUCGUUUAAAUAACUUGUGUUAGCUAGCGUUGUUGAUAGUCUCAAAAUUGUUGAGACAUCAUCAAUAAGCUAAUGGAUCUUAAUGAUUGUCAAUAGAUCCAAGACAAGUUAGUAGGAGCAAUAUGCAUUCAAAUCAAGAAAAUAUAAUCGUUAAGUUUUUGAAUGAAUGCUAAGUUACAACAAGGCCAGUGGGAGUGAUGUCAUAAUUUGGGCAACAAGAUAUGAAUAAAGUCUAUUUGAUAGACUUGAUAGAACAUAGAUGUUACUCGAAAAUUGACAAAACAUGACACGGUCAAUUUUAAAGUAUAGACUUGAAAUUGGACUUAUUGAUAUAGCAAGGCUAUCUCAAGAAUGUUUAAUAGGGAAAUUAAAUCUCAAAUGUUGAAGAUUUGAGAAAGUAUUUUCUUAUAUGAUAGAAAAUCACUUUCAUAACCCUUAUAACGAUAUGUGUCAUAAAAUCACAAAAGGGACACAUGUAUGGACUUGUGAGAUGAUAUCCAAAGGUGAAAAACCACAUGGGUUGUCACUUUAAGAUAUUACUAUAUCCCAGGAUAAGAACCAAAGCAACUGAUAGAGUAUUAUUGCCUUUAAGAAAGGAACAUCAGAGUGGGACUCUGGAAGCGUGCAUUCACUUAGGUUAUUAACCAAAGUGAAAAUAACCCAUUUUAACAAAUGGAACUUCAUAAUGGAUGAAGUACUAAUCAUAUGAAUGUAUUGAUAGUAUUGUACUACAAUGGUCUCUAGGUUGGAGCAAAGUUUGUAUAAAGUAUACAAAUGAAAUAUAUGACGAUAUAUUGUUUUAGAAACUGCUUCAAAAUGUGUUUUGAAUGGAAGGGGUUCUUUUAGAACCAAUGAUUGAAUUCAAACCAUAAGGUCGUUAGUAGGAUACUAUGACGUAAUGAGGCGAUAGCUCAAGCCAUGGAAUCAAGGUCUCAUCAAAGUAUUCGAACACAAGAAAGAGACAUCAUCAAAUGUUUUAGAAACAUUUGAUAAGUAAAUCCUUUUUUUUUAAUAAAAAGAUUAAUACAUAACCAAGUUAACCUACAAGCAUAAGCUCUCUCAACUAGCAUGUAUAAGAUACACUAGUGAUUGACUUUAGUGCAAGUGGGAGAUUGUUGGAAAUAUGCCCUGAAAGUCAAUCUUUGGAAGAAACCUUUCAGGACAAUAAAUGGAUGUAUAGAUGACUCUUAUACAUCAAAUGGCAAGGAUACUAUUUAGGACUAUCUAUAUAAACGAUAUAUGUCCUAAAUGAUGAAUCCAUGGACAAUGGAUCGAUUGAAGAAGUAAUCUAAUGAUGUUAGACUACAGAGACCUUCUUCACAUAACCAUCAUGUCCAAAAGGUUCCUGGUCAUGGGAUUGUCGGAGGGAUAAUGACAAUGCAUAGACCGGUACAUACUAUGUCCGCUUCAAUUAGAAGGAUGGAAAGUCUCAUCCCAUUCGUGUAGUGACACUAAGACAAGUAUGUAGGUGCUCAUUAAGGGAAUGAGUUCACUGAACACAAUCGAACGAGAGUACUUGCAUGGAGGUCUACUCACAUGUCAAGCAAGUAACUUUAAUAGUUGGAAUAGUGUAAGUAGUCCUUUGACCUGAGGCAUCAUCGUUGUCUUGUGGUUAAGUACUUGAUCUUUGAUCAUGUCAAAGUCACUCCAUCCGCGGGUGUCCACGGCAUAGUCGGGGUUAAGCCACUUAGUCAUGAAGGCAAGUGAAUGUUCAACAAGGAAUCUCUAAUCCUCGUUAUGAGAGGAUGAAUACUCUAAGAUAUGAUUCGGGAAUCUUCGGCCAAAGUAUCGAGCGUAAUAAGGGAAAGCGUUCCUAUAUGACUCAAUUGAAUCAUAUAACAUGGAAUAAUCACAUUAGGGGUUUGACAUAUUAUAUCCAUACCCUAGUGAUGUGAUUGAGAGUAUUGUUUUAGAGAAGGAUCGAAUUGCAUUGUAAUUCCAACUGAAUAGGUUCUCCGAACAACUUCUACAUUAGCUUGGGUAGCCAUGAUAUAUGGUUAAAUGUCACUCAUGGCUUGUGAGUUCUUCUAGAUGAUUAAAUGUAGUCAUCAAAGAAGAAGCUGAAUUAAAAGUAAGUUUUAAUUCACUAAGUGAUUGGAUUAAAUAUAAUCAAUUGGAUUGGUGCCAAUCACCUCACUGCCUUGCUAAUUAGAACCUAAAACGAUUGUUCACCAAUACACUCUUGUAGUGAGUAACUAAUGGAUGAUGGAAAUAAUUAAUUGGAUUAAUUAAGUGUUGUGAUUAAUUAGAAAGUCUAAAGAAAUCAUAAAAGCGAUAUAAGAUCGUUUUGGGCUUAAAGAAACGUUCGGGUUUAAUUGGGCCCAUUGGGCCUAAACCCAUUGGGUUUUUAUUCAAGCAUUGGAUGACUUGAAAUAAAUAAAAGCCCAAAAGCCCAAACAACACUAAGGGGGCGGGCCAUAUAGAGUGAAAAGGAGAGAUUGGAAGUCAAGUUGUUGGCUAGGUUUCUUUGUGUUAUAAAAGGAACUUUAUAGUGAAAAAGUUAAUUAGAGUUUUUUGUUGUUUUUCACAAAAGAAGAAACCAUCUUUCUCUCUCAAAAACUCACACAAGGCCGGCCACCAUAGGGGUGAUUUAACUAAUCAUCUUCUCACCCUUUUGGUUAUUCCUUCAUCCUUCUCACUACACUAGUGGGUGAGGAUCUUUAGAGGUUUUCAAUUUUGGAAACUUGAAGAGAACCUAGGAGCACUCAUUCUAAACAAAGUGGAGGAGGCAAGGAAGGAGGCUAGGCUCAAGGAGUUCAAGGAGCAAAGGUCUUGGAGGUGGUCCAUCCUUGUCUAAGAUCUAGAUCAAGAGGUAUAAAACUACUCCUAAACUUUGUUCUUAUAUAUAAAUUUGUUUUUGAUGCAUCUUACAUAAACCUAUGCAUCUUGAAGGGGAUUUGCAUGACUAGAGCUUUGAUAUUAUUUGAUAACAUGCUUCCGUUGCUUUCGUAUAUAAAUCUUGAAUUGUAUAUGCAUGCUAGUCACUAGAAAUCCCACAUGAAUCUCAUAGAAUUUCCCUUCAAAUAUGGUUUGUUAAAGAGCGUGGUUCAAAGUCCUAUAAGAGUUAGGAUUGGUUGAAACCUAAUCAGAUUGGGAUGAGAAGUUCUAAUCCGAGUAUAUCUCUAGUUCGGCAAUGAGGGUGGUUCGCUACUAUAAAUAGAGAAAGAAGUGCAUCAUUCAAGACCCCUUCAAAUCAACACACAAAUUGCCAUGUGCAAAGCUUCUCAACAACCUUUGAGAUUUCAUCAUCUUCCUCUUUCUUCCCGUGAACACAUCUUCAGUUUAGAUAAACAGCACUAUGAAGGCAACCGACGACAUCUUCAGUUUGGAUAGACAGCACUAGAGUCAUAGAAUCAGCCGACCGAAAAGCACCUUCAAUUUAGAUAGACAACACUGCUUCAACACCUUCAGUUUGGAUAGACAGCACUGCUUCAAGGUCGACUGGGUAUUUAUCCAAGUCUCGAUCGACAAGGAUUUUCGAGUCCUUGUUGGUAGACGUCAUCUCAUCAGCCUUCUCGGCAAAGUGAGACGUUACAGAUUACUAGGCUCGACACAUUGAACAUUGAGUUUUGCUUUAUGAUUGGAUAUUCAUAGGUAUAUUUUAGAGUAUUUGUGUCCAUAUAGUCUGAUACCGGUUCGACGUACUUAUACUCUCAUAAAUAUAAUUACUGAGACCGAGACCAGUGCCGACGAUUUGUGAACUUCGUAGACCUAGCAACCUUAUCUUCAGGCUCUAAAACCCAAAGGCUGAGACGUGUUCCUUCCUCAGCCGCAAUCGCAAGAUAAAUAAGUCAGCAGCGUGCCUAACACACAUCAAAAUAUUUUACUCCCCGGCCAAGCUCGGCCGAUGAGUUGGCACACCCCGCACACAACCGAAUGAUGUAGUUAGCUUAUUAGUUACUCGGCCUGCACGCCACGUAGGUUUGGUAGUUUUUAGGGUCAACAGUAACAUUUCAUGGUUGGUUCUUAUAAUUGAACUCAUCAUUAUACAACAUCAUCUCCAAUAUUAGAAAGCCAAAACCACAGAACCACACUUUGGUGUCUCGGGUUUCACCAAAAGUAAUUAGACUGGAAAGCCCUUAAAACAAAAAAAAUUCUAAAGGAUAAAUUACAUUUUACCCCCUCAGGUUUGGGGUUGAUUGCAACCUCAUAUAAUAUCUUUAAAACAUUUCAAUUUCAUACGUUUACUUAUCAUUUUAUUUCAAUUUCAUACAUCCGUUAGAAAAUCCAUUAAGUGAUAACGUGGCAAAUAUGGGAUCCACAUUUGUGCUGAUGUGGCUACCAAAUUUGUCCCACGUGGCAAAAAAGUAAUUUUUUAUGCAUUUAAAAGAUAAUAAUUUACCCUAUUUAAAUUUUAAAAAAUAAAAAUAAAAAAUAAAAAAUAAACCAUAAAACCCAUCAUCCCCGACACCUUCUCCUUCUCCUCCACUCUCUUCACCUCUCCCCAAAGACCCAAUCUUCCCUUUUCACCUUCCCAACCCACAUUUUCCUUCUCCUUCACUCUCUUCACCUCCCCUCCCAUCAUCAUUGUCAUCCUCACAGCCACACUCAUGGCCUCAAUCUGCCUCUGUCUCAUCCUCCGCCACCUCAAUCGCCGAUACAUCCAUUGCCUUGCGCCCUCCCCCGUCG
This 10154-nucleotide long non-coding RNA is filed under the name Malus domestica (apple). RNAcentral's name for it is "long non-coding RNA (MDOM_LNC015546)". The record is from RNAcentral. Lineage: Eukaryota; Viridiplantae; Streptophyta; Magnoliopsida; Rosales; Rosaceae.